GGAGUUAGCCGGUGCUUCUUCUGCGAGUAACGUCACAGAUGUAAGGUAUUAACUUACACCCUUUCCUCCUCGCUGAAAGUGCUUUACAACCCGAAGGCCUUCUUCACACACGCGGCAUGGCUGCAUCAGGGUUUCCCCCAUUGUGCAAUAUUCCCCACUGCUGCCUCCCGUAGGAGUCUGGGCCGUGUCUCAGUCCCAGUGUGGCUGAUCAUCCUCUCAGACCAGCUAGGGAUCGUCGCCUAGGUGAGCCUUUACCUCACCUACUAGCUAAUCCCACCUGGGCUUAUCCAUCAGCGCAAGGCCCGAAGGUCCCCUGCUUUCCCCCGUAGGGCGUAUGCGGUAUUAGCAGUCGUUUCCAACUGUUAUCCCCCACAACUGGGCAAAUUCCCAGGCAUUACUCACCCGUCCGCCGCUCGUCAUCUUCAAAGCAAGCUUUUGAAUGUUACCGCUCGACUUGCAUGUGUUAGGCCUGCCGCCAGCGUUCAAUCUGAGCCAGACUCAACUCUGA
This 508-nucleotide ribosomal RNA is filed under the name uncultured bacterium. Its description in RNAcentral is "partial 16S ribosomal RNA". The record is from RNAcentral.